GAAGAUUUCAAGAUCCAGCUGUUCAAGAAGAUAUUAAGCAUUUUCCAUUCAAAGUUUUAUGCAAGGAUGGUGACAAACCAGCUGUAGAAGUUAAAUUUAAGGGGGAAACAAAAGUUUUUGCUCCGGAAGAAAUU
Molecule: non-coding RNA, 134 nt
Filed under: Rhodomonas lens
Lineage: Eukaryota; Cryptophyceae; Pyrenomonadales; Pyrenomonadaceae
Source: RNAcentral